This 427-nucleotide long non-coding RNA is filed under the name Vitis vinifera (wine grape). RNAcentral describes it as "long non-coding RNA (VVIN_LNC000707)". The record is from RNAcentral. Lineage: Eukaryota; Viridiplantae; Streptophyta; Magnoliopsida; Vitales; Vitaceae.
UGGUCGAAGACGUGGCCCGGCGAGUCAACGUGCGUGCCGGUAUGAGUGGGCAUUUUCAUGUGAGAGUUAUUGGUGAUAGAUCCGUUCUUCAUACUCUUCUCCAACCAUAUGACCUCGCCGAUUCCCUCGUCGGUCCCAAAGGUGGGCAUGUUGGGGGUGUAUGGGUGAGUGAUGUCGAAGAUACGUCCGUCGGCGUAGACCUCUCGUUUCACGGGGAUGAGCUCGACGUUGCAGGAGCCCGAGCCGUAGGCAGAGGGAUAAGCCUCGGAGGCGAAGGAAGAGGGGAGGAAGAGAGUGGCCACAGUGACCACCCCGGCGCAGAGCAGUGGGAGCAACAGCGAGGAUCCCAUGGUGGUGAAGAUUGAAGAAGAGAGAAGAGUCACUGAGGGAUAUCCAAGCUCACUGGUUGAAGGGCCUUAUAUAAAAG